GAAGUUGCCCGUGUUAUUUUCG
Molecule: microRNA, 22 nt
Filed under: Canis lupus familiaris (dog)
Lineage: Eukaryota; Metazoa; Chordata; Mammalia; Carnivora; Canidae
Source: RNAcentral